Long non-coding RNA from Ctenocephalides felis (cat flea), 257 nucleotides. RefSeq lists it as uncharacterized. The transcript has 3 exons. The record is from RefSeq and is a predicted model, not a curated record. Lineage: Eukaryota; Metazoa; Arthropoda; Insecta; Siphonaptera; Pulicidae.
CUCGAAGUCGAAGGUUGUCGUCUGCCGUCCGUCGUGUUAAAUCUGCCGAGUGCAUUUUUGUCCGCGUGUGUAAGUUGUGAGUGAUUUUAUCGAAAAUAUACCGAAAUACUGAUUAAAAUGUGUUCUUGGCUUUUCGACUGCCUGCGAAAAUGAUUACUGGAGCAACUCAUCAUAAAUGAUUUUCAGUUCCUCAUUUGAGAUUCAAAAUAUAAGGAAUUUUGGAGUUCCCUGAACCGAUGUCAAUUCUGCAGAAUAUG